Molecule: ribosomal RNA, 1076 nt
Filed under: Bacillus safensis
Lineage: Bacteria; Bacillati; Bacillota; Bacilli; Caryophanales; Bacillaceae
Description: bacterial SSU rRNA
Rfam family: Bacterial small subunit ribosomal RNA
Source: RNAcentral
CAUGCAAGUCGAGCGGACAGAAGGGAGCUUGCUCCCGGAUGUUAGCGGCGGACGGGUGAGUAACACGUGGGUAACCUGCCUGUAAGACUGGGAUAACUCCGGGAAACCGGAGCUAAUACCGGAUAGUUCCUUGAACCGCAUGGUUCAAGGAUGAAAGACGGUUUCGGCUGUCACUUACAGAUGGACCCGCGGCGCAUUAGCUAGUUGGUGGGGUAAUGGCUCACCAAGGCGACGAUGCGUAGCCGACCUGAGAGGGUGAUCGGCCACACUGGGACUGAGACACGGCCCAGACUCCUACGGGAGGCAGCAGUAGGGAAUCUUCCGCAAUGGACGAAAGUCUGACGGAGCAACGCCGCGUGAGUGAUGAAGGUUUUCGGAUCGUAAAGCUCUGUUGUUAGGGAAGAACAAGUGCGAGAGUAACUGCUCGCACCUUGACGGUACCUAACCAGAAAGCCACGGCUAACUACGUGCCAGCAGCCGCGGUAAUACGUAGGUGGCAAGCGUUGUCCGGAAUUAUUGGGCGUAAAGGGCUCGCAGGCGGUUUCUUAAGUCUGAUGUGAAAGCCCCCGGCUCAACCGGGGAGGGUCAUUGGAAACUGGGAAACUUGAGUGCAGAAGAGGAGAGUGGAAUUCCACGUGUAGCGGUGAAAUGCGUAGAGAUGUGGAGGAACACCAGUGGCGAAGGCGACUCUCUGGUCUGUAACUGACGCUGAGGAGCGAAAGCGUGGGGAGCGAACAGGAUUAGAUACCCUGGUAGUCCACGCCGUAAACGAUGAGUGCUAAGUGUUAGGGGGUUUCCGCCCCUUAGUGCUGCAGCUAACGCAUUAAGCACUCCGCCUGGGGAGUACGGUCGCAAGACUGAAACUCAAAGGAAUUGACGGGGGCCCGCACAAGCGGUGGAGCAUGUGGUUUAAUUCGAAGCAACGCGAAGAACCUUACCAGGUCUUGACAUCCUCUGACAACCCUAGAGAUAGGGCUUUCCCUUCGGGGACAGAGUGACAGGUGGUGCAUGGUUGUCGUCAGCUCGUGUCGUGAGAUGUUGGGUUAAGUCCCGCAACGAGCGCAACCCUUGAUCUU